GACGAACGCUGGCGGCGUGCCUAAUACAUGCAAGUAGAACGCACAGUUUAUACCGUAGCUUGCUACACCAUAGACUGUGAGUUGCGAACGGGUGAGUAACGCGUAGGUAACCUGCCUGGUAGCGGGGGAUAACUAUUGGGAACGAUAGCUAAUACCGCAUAAUAUUGAUUAUUGCAUGAUAAUUGAUUGAAAGGUGCUAUUUCAUCACUACCAGAUGGACCUGCGUUGUAUUAGCUAGUAGGGGAGGUAACGGCUCACCUAGGCGACGAUACAUAGGCGACCUGGGAAGGUGGUCGGCCACACUGGGACCGAGACACGGCCCAGACUCCUACGGGAGGCAGCAGUAGGGAAUCUUCGGCAAUGGACGAAAGUCUGAACGGGCAACGCCGCGUGAGGGAAGAAGGUUUUCGGAUCGGAAAGCUCUGUUGUAAGAGAAGAAAGGGUGUGGGAGUGGAAAGUUCACACUGUGACGGUAUCUUAUCAGAAAGGGACGGCUAACUACGUG
Molecule: ribosomal RNA, 505 nt
Filed under: uncultured bacterium
Lineage: Bacteria
Description: partial 16S ribosomal RNA
Rfam family: Bacterial small subunit ribosomal RNA
Source: RNAcentral